RNAcentral lists this non-coding RNA (32 nucleotides) under Homo sapiens (human). Lineage: Eukaryota; Metazoa; Chordata; Mammalia; Primates; Hominidae. The record is from RNAcentral.
UGAAAAGGCCACAUCCUUUCCAAAGGACACUA